This 264-nucleotide unclassified non-coding RNA is filed under the name uncultured fungus. RNAcentral's name for it is "partial contains 5.8S ribosomal RNA, internal transcribed spacer 2, and large subunit ribosomal RNA". The stretch from base 1 to 52 matches the Rfam family "5.8S ribosomal RNA", at positions 103 to 154 of the family's 154-position model. Lineage: Eukaryota; Fungi. The record is from RNAcentral.
AACGCAUAUUGCGCCCGGUAGUACUCUACCGGGCAUGCCUGUCCGAGCGUCAUUUCAACCCUCGGGACCCGUUUCGGCGGGACCCGGCGUUGGGGAUCGGCCGUCCUUGCGGCGCGCCGGCCCCGAAAUACAGUGGCGGUCUCGUUGUGACUCCCCUGCGUAGUAGUAACAUCUCGCAUGCGGAUAGCGACGUGGCCACGCCGUAAAACCCCCAACUUUAUCAAGGUUGACCUCGGAUCAGGUAGGAAUACCCGCUGAACUUAA